AGAGUUUGAUCAUGGCUCAGAACGAACGCUGGCGGCAGGCCUAACACAUGCAAGUCGAACGCCGUAGCAAUACGGAGUGGCAGACGGGUGAGUAACGCGUGGGAACAUACCCCUCGGUUCGGAAUAACUCAGGGAAACUUGAGCUAAUGCCGGAUACGUCCGAGGUUUUAAUCGACCUUGGAGAAAGAUUUAUCGCCGGAGGAUUGGCCCGCGUCUGAUUAGCUUGUUGGUGAGGUAAUGGCUCACCAAGGCGACGAUCAGUAGCUGGUCUGAGAGGAUGAUCAGCCACAUUGGGACUGAGACACGGCCCAAACUCCUACGGGAGGCAGCAGUGGGGAAUAUUGGACAAUGGGCGAAAGCCUGAUCCAGCCAUGCCGCGUGAGUGAUGAAGGCCUUAGGGUUGUAAAGCUCUUUUACCCGGGAAGAUAAUGACGGUACCGGGAGAAUAAGCCCCGGCUAACUUCGUGCCAGCAGCCGCGGUAAUACGAAGGGGGCUAGCGUUGUUCGGAAUUACUGGGCGUAAAGCGCACGUAGGCGGAUCUUUAAGUCAGGGGUGAAAUCCCGAGGCUCAACCUCGGAACUGCCUUUGAUACUGGGGAUAUCGAGUCCGGGAGAGGUGAGUGGAACUGCGAGUGUAGAGGUGAAAUUCGUAGAUAUUCGCAAGAACACCAGUGGCGAAGGCGGCUCACUGGCCCGGUACUGACGCUGAGGUGCGAAAGCGUGGGGAGCAAACAGGAUUAGAUACCCUGGUAGUCCACGCCGUAAACGAUGGAUGCUAGCCGUUAGACAGCUUGCUGUUUAGUGGCGCAGUUAACGCGUUAAGCAUCCCGCCUGGGGAGUACGGUCGCAAGAUUAAAACUCAAAGGAAUUGACGG
RNAcentral lists this ribosomal RNA (875 nucleotides) under uncultured bacterium. Its description in RNAcentral is "bacterial SSU rRNA". It matches the Rfam family "Bacterial small subunit ribosomal RNA", at positions 8 to 916 of the family's 1533-position model. The record is from RNAcentral.